UUGCCCAAUGAUUAUAAAAAGACGCGUUAUUGUGAGGGUCAAUACUAGAACCAGUUGCACACUUUUUUUGUAUCCCCCUCUUCUCUCUCUUCUCUCUCCCCCCAAUCAUCACUCCCCCUCUCCUAAACCACCCCCAUAUUUUCAUCUCUCCCAACUGGAUGCUAGUAUCCUUUGAACAAACCAAGUUUAUGAGGGCAU
Small nucleolar RNA from Polypterus senegalus (gray bichir), 198 nucleotides. RefSeq annotates it as small nucleolar RNA SNORD97. NCBI's taxonomy places the organism in Eukaryota, Metazoa, Chordata, Cladistia, Polypteriformes, Polypteridae. The transcript has a single exon. The record is from RefSeq and is a predicted model, not a curated record.